AACGUAGGUGGCAAGCGUUAUCCGGAUUUACUGGGCGUAAAGGGUGUGCAGGCGGGCUGUCAAGUGGUGUAUGAAAGCCUCCAGCUUAACUGGGGAGGGUUAUGCCAGACUGACAGUCUUGAGGACGAGAGAGGGGCGUGGAAUUCCGGGUGUAGUGGUGAAAUGCGUAGAUAUCCGGAGGAACACCAAAGGCGAAGGCAGCUUUCUGGUGCGCACCUGACGCUGAUGGACGAAAGCCAGGGGAGCGAACGGG
This 253-nucleotide ribosomal RNA is filed under the name uncultured prokaryote. RNAcentral's name for it is "partial 16S ribosomal RNA". It matches the Rfam family "Bacterial small subunit ribosomal RNA", at positions 524 to 776 of the family's 1533-position model. The record is from RNAcentral.